GGUAGAGCACUGGAACGGCUAGGGGUACUCACCAGAUUACCAAACCAUACCAAACUCCGAAUGUCGGUAACUGUUAACCUGGGACGCAGACGGUGGGUAGAUAACGUCCAUCGUCAAGAGGGGAAUAACCCAGACCAACAGCUAAGGUCCCUAAGUUCAGGCUAAGUGAACACUAGAAAGGAUGUGGCGGGUCAUUGACAACCAGGAAGUUGGCUUAGAAGCAGCCAUCUUUUAAAGAAAGCGUAAUAGCUCACUGGUCGAGACAAGCCGCGCCGAAAAUGUAACGGGGCUAAGCCUGGCACCGAAGCUUUGGGUCAUACUGAUUUUGAUCAGUAUGGCGGUAGGGGAGCGUUGAAACUGCUGCGAAGCACGAUGGUAAUGGCGUGUGGAGCGGUUUCGAGUGCUGAUGCCGAAAUGAGUAGCGAUAAGGGAAGUGAGAAUCUUCCCCCCCGUAAACCUAAGGUUUCCUGGGUCAAGUCAAUCUUCCCAGGGUUAGCCGGACCCUAAGUCGAGCCCGAAAGGGGUAGAUGAUGGAAAGCAGGUUAAUA
Molecule: ribosomal RNA, 548 nt
Filed under: uncultured bacterium
Lineage: Bacteria
Description: bacterial LSU rRNA
Rfam family: Bacterial large subunit ribosomal RNA
Source: RNAcentral